AUUACUUUGGCAGAUUAGUGUGGUAAAUUUAGAAUUUAUUUAUGUAAGGUUUUUACAAGUAAUA
This 64-nucleotide transfer RNA is filed under the name Limbodessus compactus. RNAcentral describes it as "tRNA-Leu". Lineage: Eukaryota; Metazoa; Arthropoda; Insecta; Coleoptera; Dytiscidae. The record is from RNAcentral.